This 106-nucleotide small nuclear RNA is filed under the name Dasypus novemcinctus (nine-banded armadillo). Lineage: Eukaryota; Metazoa; Chordata; Mammalia; Cingulata; Dasypodidae. The record is from RNAcentral.
GUGCUCAUUUUGGCAGCACAUAUACCAAAAUUGGAAUGACACAGAGAAAGUAAGCACGGCCCCUGCACAAGGAGGACAUGCAAUUCAUGUAGCACUCCAUAUUUGU